Molecule: ribosomal RNA, 440 nt
Filed under: uncultured bacterium
Lineage: Bacteria
Description: partial 16S ribosomal RNA
Rfam family: Bacterial small subunit ribosomal RNA
Source: RNAcentral
CCUACGGGAGGCAGCAGUGGGGGAUCUUGCACAAUGGGGGAAACCCUGAUGCAGCGACGCCGCGUGUGGGAAGACGGUCCUCUGGAUUGUAAACCACUGUCCCCAGGGACGAAGAUGACGGUACCUGGGGAGGAAGCUCCGGCUAACUACGUGCCAGCAGCCGCGGUAAUACGUAGGGAGCGAGCGUUGUCCGGAAUUACGGGGUGUCAAGGGAGCGUAGGCGGGACUGCAAGUUGGGUGUCAAAGCUACAGGCUCAACCGGUAGCCGCACUCAAAACUGCAGUUCUUGAGUGAAGUAGAGGCAGGCGGAAUUCCUAGUGUAGCGGUGAAAUGCGUAGAUAUUAGGAGGAACACCAGUGGCGAAGGCGGCCUGCUGGGCUGUUACUGACGCUGAGGCUCGAAAGUGUGGGGAGCAAACAGGAGUAGAUACCCGGGUAGUC